AGUGGCGGACGGGUGAGUAACGCGUAAGAAUCUAACUUCAGGACGGGGACAACAGUGGGAAACGACUGCUAAUACCCGAUGUGCCGCGAGGUGAAACCUAAUUGGCCUGAAGAAGAGCUUGCGUCUGAUUAGCUAGUUGGUGGGGUAAGAGCCUACCAAGGCGACGAUCAGUAGCUGGUCUGAGAGGAUGAGCAGCCACACUGGGACUGAGACACGGCCCAGACUCCUACGGGAGGCAGCAGUGGGGAAUUUUCCGCAAUGGGCGAAAGCCUGACGGAGCAACGCCGCGUGAGGGAGGAAGGUCUUUGGAUUGUAAACCUCUUUUCUCAAGGAAGAAGUUCUGACGGUACUUGAGGAAUCAGCCUCGGCUAACUCCGUGCCAGCAGCCGCGGUAAUACGGGGGAGGCAAGCGUUAUCCGGAAUUAUAGGGAGUAAAGCGUCCGCAGGUGGUCAGCCAAGUCUGCCGUCAAAUCAGGUUGCUUAACGACCUAAAGGCGGUGGAAACUGGCAGACUAGAGAGCAGUAGGGGUAGCAGGAAUUCCCAGUGUAGCGGUGAAAUGCGUAGAGAUUGGGAAGAACAUCGGUGGCGAAAGCGUGCUACUGGGCUGUAUCUGACACUCAGGGACGAAAGCUAGGGGAGCGAAAGGGAUUAGAUACCCCUGUAGUCCUAGCCGUAAACGAUGGAUACUAGGCGUGGCUU
Molecule: ribosomal RNA, 700 nt
Filed under: uncultured bacterium
Lineage: Bacteria
Description: bacterial SSU rRNA
Rfam family: Bacterial small subunit ribosomal RNA
Source: RNAcentral